CCUGAUUAUCAUUUCCAUGCUGUCCUUGAGAAUACUCCCUUUGGGUAAACUCAUCUUUCAAGGCAGAACAAAAGAGGAGCUCAUUUCCUUUCAGUACUUGUGCUAGUGAGAGCAUUCAUAAGAAGAUGCUUAUGCUGAGAAAGAAAAGCAGUACAGGCUUCAUGGCUUAGGCUAUAAAAACUUCGAACUGGGUAACUACAAGCCUUGCUUUGGUAAAGCCGACACGGACUUAAUUUCUGAAUCUGGAGUAUGCUUCCUCUGCUGGCCUGAUGCCCACCCUCCUCCAACCUCCAGCAGCCCACCACCUUGCCACAUCGG
RNAcentral lists this long non-coding RNA (318 nucleotides) under Phascolarctos cinereus (koala). Its description in RNAcentral is "lncRNA (ENSPCIG00000002868.2)". The record is from RNAcentral. Lineage: Eukaryota; Metazoa; Chordata; Mammalia; Diprotodontia; Phascolarctidae.